This 468-nucleotide ribosomal RNA is filed under the name uncultured bacterium. RNAcentral describes it as "partial 16S ribosomal RNA". It matches the Rfam family "Bacterial small subunit ribosomal RNA", at positions 28 to 507 of the family's 1533-position model. The record is from RNAcentral.
GACGAACGCUGGCGGCGUGCUUAACACAUGCAAGUCGAACGGAAAGGCCCUGCUUUUGUGGGGUGCUCGAGUGGCGAACGGGUGAGUAACACGUGAGUAACCUGCCCUAGACUUUGGGAUAACUUCAGGAAGCUGGGGCUAAUACCGUAUAGGAGCUCCUGCUGCAUGGUGGGGGUUGGAAAGUUUCGGCGGUUGGGGAUGGACUCGCGGCUUAUCAGCUUGUUGGUGGGGUAGUGGCUUACCAAGGCUUUGACGGGUAGCCGGCCUGAGAGGGUGACCGGCCACAUUGGGACUGAGAUACGGCCCAGACUCCUACGGGAGGCAGCAGUGGGGAAUAUUGCACAAUGGGCGGAAGCCUGAUGCAGCAACGCCGCGUGCGGGAUGACGGCCUUCGGGUUGUAAACCGCUUUCGCCUGUGACGACGCGUGAGUGACGGUAAUGGGUAAAGAAGCACCGGCUAACUACGUG